AGAGUUUGAUCCUGGCUCAGAUUUUACGCUAGCGGGAUGCCUUACACAUGCAAGUCGAACGGCAGCACGGACUUCGGUCUGGUGGCGAGUGGCGAACGGGUGAGUAAUGUAUCGGAACGUGCCUAGUAGCGGGGGAUAACUACGCGAAAGCGUAGCUAAUACCGCAUACGCCCUACGGGGGAAAGCAGGGGAUCGCAAGACCUUGCACUAUUAGAGCGGCCGAUAUCGGAUUAGCUAGUUGGUGGGGUAACGGCUCACCAAGGCGACGAUCCGUAGCUGGUUUGAGAGGACGACCAGCCACACUGGGACUGAGACACGGCCCAGACUCCUACGGGAGGCAGCAGUGGGGAAUUUUGGACAAUGGGGGAAACCCUGAUCCAGCCAUCCCGCGUGUGCGAUGAAGGCCUUCGGGUUGUAAAGCACUUUUGGCAGGAAAGAAACGUCAUGGGCUAAUACCCCGUGAAACUGACGGUACCUGCAGAAUAAGCACCGGCUAACUACGUGCCAGCAGCCGCGGUAAUACGUAGGGUGCAAGCGUUAAUCGGAAUUACUGGGCGUAAAGCGUGCGCAGGCGGUUCGGAAAGAAAGAUGUGAAAUCCCAGAGCUUAACUUUGGAACUGCAUUUUUAACUACCGAGCUAGAGUGUGUCAGAGGGAGGUGGAAUUCCGCGUGUAGCAGUGAAAUGCGUAGAUAUGCGGAGGAACACCGAUGGCGAAGGCA
Molecule: ribosomal RNA, 720 nt
Filed under: uncultured bacterium
Lineage: Bacteria
Description: bacterial SSU rRNA
Rfam family: Bacterial small subunit ribosomal RNA
Source: RNAcentral